RNAcentral lists this ribosomal RNA (253 nucleotides) under uncultured bacterium. RNAcentral's name for it is "partial 16S ribosomal RNA". It matches the Rfam family "Bacterial small subunit ribosomal RNA", at positions 524 to 776 of the family's 1533-position model. The record is from RNAcentral.
GACGAACCGUGCGAACGUUGUUCGGAAUCACUGGGCUUAAAGGGCGCGUAGGCGGGUUCACAAGUCCGGGGUGAAAGCCCCCAGCUCAACUGGGGAAGCGCCUUGGAUACUGUGGGUCUCGAGGGGGGUAGAGGCGCGCGGAACUUCCGGUGGAGCGGUGAAAUGCGUAGAUAUCGGAAGGAACACCGGUGGCGAAAGCGGCGCGCUGGACCCCUUCUGACGCUGAGGCGCGAAAGCCAGGGGAGCAAACGGG